This 497-nucleotide ribosomal RNA is filed under the name uncultured bacterium. RNAcentral's name for it is "partial 16S ribosomal RNA". It matches the Rfam family "Bacterial small subunit ribosomal RNA", at positions 28 to 507 of the family's 1533-position model. The record is from RNAcentral.
GACGAACGCUGGCGGCGUGCCUAAUACAUGCAAGUAGAACGCUGAAGCUUGGUGCUUGCACCGAGCGGAUGAGUUGCGAACGGGUGAGUAACGCGUAGGUCACCUGCCUGGUAGCGGGGGAUAACUAUUGGAAACGAUAGCUAAUACCGCAUAAGAGUAGAUGUUGCAUGACAUUUGCUUAAAAGGUGCAAUUGCAUCACUACCAGAUGGACCUGCGUUGUAUUAGCUAGUUGGUGAGGUAACGGCUCACCAAGGCAACGAUACAUAGCCGACCUGAGAGGGUUAUCUGCCACACUGGGACUGAGACACGGCCCAGACUCCCACGGGAGGCAGCAGUAGGGAAUUGUCGGCAAUGGACGGAAGUCUGACCGAGCAACGCCGCGUGAGUGAAGAAGGUUUUCGGAGCGUAAAGCUCUGUUGUAAGAGAAGAACGAGUGUGAGAGUGGAAAGUUCACACUGUGACGGUAUCUUACCAGAAAGGGACGGCUAACUACGUG